This 641-nucleotide long non-coding RNA is filed under the name Fukomys damarensis (Damara mole-rat). RNAcentral describes it as "lncRNA (ENSFDAG00000021721.1)". The record is from RNAcentral. Lineage: Eukaryota; Metazoa; Chordata; Mammalia; Rodentia; Bathyergidae.
AACACGUUCACUAGGAGGGCCCACCUGAGUACACAAGUGGAGGAGAAGGUUUCCUUCCAAUAAUCAUGGCCAUUCCAGAAGAAGACGUACAGUACUGCUGAAUAAGGACCAAACGUGCAAGAUAAACAGAGCUCUGUUUCCAGCUCUGCCGUCCUACAGCUCUGACUUCUCAGGCCGAUGCUCAGCACUGGAAGCCGGGGCAUGGAGAGAUGCUGACCUCUCAGAGGUGAACACCCACGGUGCCUGGCCUGCUGCGCAUGGAGCCCUCCCCUCCCGCCCUGCUGGAGACUGUGGACCCUUCCCUGCACACAUCACUGUGGUGACGAAAAGUGGCUCACUGGAUUCAGGUGUGCUUUAAGUACACGAUGUACAUCAAUUUGGAAGGCAGCAGGAAGAAAUGUAUGAUAUCUUAAUUUUUACACUAGUUACAUAUUGAAAUUAUAGUACUCUGGAUGGGUUGGAUUAAAUAAAAUAUAAUCAUGUGCCAUAUGAUGAUUGUUUGGUCAAUGGCAGGCUGCAUACAUAAGGCUGGUCACAUAGGUUGUUCUGCCCAGUGACAUCCUAGCCCUUUGAGUUUAAGGACUCCGUGAUAUUUGCACAAUGACAAAUCACCUAAAGACAGAACCUGUCUCUGCUAAGUG